RNAcentral lists this ribosomal RNA (405 nucleotides) under uncultured bacterium. RNAcentral describes it as "bacterial SSU rRNA". It matches the Rfam family "Bacterial small subunit ribosomal RNA", at positions 29 to 412 of the family's 1533-position model. The record is from RNAcentral.
AGCGAACGUUAGCGGCAGGCCUAACACAUGCAAGUCGAGCGAGAAAGAGGACUUCGGUCCUCGAGUACAGCGGCGUACGGGUGAGUAACACGUGGGUAAUCUGCCCUUCGGUGGGGGACGAACAACCCGAAACGGGUUAGGCUAAUACCGCAUUCGCCGGCAUGACCUGUGGAUUAUGCCGGGAAAGUGGCCUCUACUUGUAAGCACACGCCGAAGGAGGAGCCCGCGUCCCAUCAGCUAGNGGUUAGGGUAAUGGCCUACCAAGGCAAAGACGGGUAGCUGGUCUGAGAGGAUGAUCAGCCACACUGGGACUGAGACACGGCCCAGACUCCUACGGGAGGCAGCAGUGGGGAAUAUUGGACAAUGGGCGCAAGCCUGAUCCAGCAACGCCGCGUGGAGGACGAA